CUUACCCCCGCGGCUCAGCCGGGCAGAUUUUUUUCUUCCUUUCUUUUUGUUUUGUUUCGGUUCCUGCCGGUCAGAAUCUUUUGCCAGGAAGACAGCGCCCUCUCUCUGCUCCGCUGACCUCCCGCGCCUCCUUCUCGCCGCCGCCCUCCCGGGCCCUGUCCCGUCCUUCCUCACGCCCCAGUAACCUCCUCGGGGAACAACUCUAGAGAGCAGCGGGGUCCGACCUGCUAAAGUCCGGGCGCCCCGGGCUGGCCGGCCUGAGCGUCCGACUUCUGCCUGCUUGGCUGAGAGGAGCCGUCCUGGGCGAAGACGCGGCGCUGGGGAACUCGCGCACUGCCCCGGGGAGGGGUUCCUGGCGCAGCCGGAGGGAAAGGUGCUUGGCACCGAUGUUGAGUGGCGUCUUCUGGCUCAAAUCUGGCUUUUGGCGAGUCCCUGGGAGUGAACCUCCUGAAAGCACAGCUGAAGUCGGCCCUUUUCCCCUAACUGGCCAAUCCACCUUCUUCCGCUCUAACCAUGGGUGCCCCCAUCUUUUAACGACGCCACAACGCAGUGUGGGGGGUUCCCACCGACUGACCCGACUCCCAGGCCCUGACUGAGUCCCCUGGGUGUGCGACAUCAGCAUGCUGUCUGUGAACCUCACAGCGCUUGAUCGCAGAUCAGAAAGAAACAGGCGCAGGAGCCUAGAGCCAACAGCAAGUGGAUGGGAAAGAACCUUGACAACACAAAACUCAUUUACUAAUGGACUGGUUUUGGGUUUCUCUUCUCCUGGUCCGCAAACCGCCCUGCCUGAGCCCUCGGCCUAUUCAGACCUCUCCAGGAGUGAAAUCCCCCAGGAGGCAGGUGGGCGGCUGCUCCCGCGCUGCGCCGGCCGUCCGAGUCCGGGAUCCCAAUGGCCGAAGGCACCCGGAGUUUCCGACCAAGAAGAAGAAAAAGACGAAUGUUAUGUUGUCACAUUCGUCUUUGGGGGAGUCCCUGCACUGCCCUAGAGCGACGACGCUAAUUUACUGAACACCUCCAGAUGCUCUUCCCUUCCAAAUAUCUGUAGGUAGAGUAGGAUUCCCGCUGUCCUUCUUGAUGGCGAAGGAAUUCCAAGAAAGCGGGCCCAGAGCACCAAAGCAUCUCGCUCCAAGCCAGAAGGGAAACAAGUGGGACCCAGCCAGAAAUUUUUGAACCAAGGCCUUAUGUCAGCCCAGCCAGAAAUCGCAGUAGCAACUAGUGCCUCCGCAUUGGUCUUUCUGUAGACCAGUUGUGCGCACCCCCGGCCAUUACCUGUACAGAAGAGAUACAGAAGAGCUGAAACUUGGCGUCGGACACCGCUCACCAGCCGCGUUACCCUCGGGAGCCGCGAUGCGGUGAGGGCAGCAGCUAGAGUUGGUCGUUCCCUUUAAAUCUCGGACGCAUCUCUGUUUUUCUUGUGAUUUGCAUUGACAGCGAAGGUUUUAAGUUACUAGAACAACCCAAACCUUUCUGUGUGCGAUUUAAAAUGGAUCAUUUGGUUUAUGUGGUUUGUAAAUUCAUGUCAUUUUACUUCUUUUAGUGGUUUUCAGUGAAAGGUUCCAUUUUGGGAAACCUUAUAUAUCCGAGCCAAUAAUUAACAUUUAUAACAAUUGGUUCCCCUAUCCAAGGGAUCGAAAUAGCAGGUAGGCUCGUUAGUACAAAGCGAAUGGCACUUUUCCUUUCCAGUUACGCGAUCUGUUGGAUUAAGCGCACGGAGAAAAGCUAGCGGGCCCGGGCACGGCCUGAGGAUGAUCACCACUGCUCAUCAAUCCCGGUCUCCGCAAUCAUGGUGUCCACGCGGUCAUCUUCCCACUUGUCGCCAGUGUCUAGUAUGUCCUGGUUCCUUUUGAAGAGAGAUGAAAAGAAGUGGGCAGGAAGGUUUGGAGGAAGCAGGAAAAAAAGUGGUCAUAUUGGUGUCUAAUUGCUAUCUUUCGGCUCCCCCUCCUCCCCUGUAAAUUUAUACCUGCCGUUAUUUGUCCAAGCUAUGCCUCAUUUCCUUAUACAAAAUUGUUCAUUAUAAAGUACACCCCGUACUCAACUUACCGUUUAUCUUUUGAGAGCUGUGACUGUACUUACAGGCACCUGCCC
Pteropus alecto (black flying fox) is the source of this 2085-nucleotide long non-coding RNA. RefSeq lists it as uncharacterized. NCBI's taxonomy places the organism in Eukaryota, Metazoa, Chordata, Mammalia, Chiroptera, Pteropodidae. The record is from RefSeq and is a predicted model, not a curated record. The transcript has 3 exons.